Long non-coding RNA from Lycium ferocissimum, 1282 nucleotides. RefSeq lists it as uncharacterized. NCBI's taxonomy places the organism in Eukaryota, Viridiplantae, Streptophyta, Magnoliopsida, Solanales, Solanaceae. The record is from RefSeq and is a predicted model, not a curated record. The transcript has 2 exons.
GCAGUGAAAAACAGUUUUAGCAGUCCCUAUACUACGUGAAAUAGUUUGCGAGCCCAAUCAUGUUUUUAAGGAAUUUGAGAUGUAGAGGAAAUUUGGAGAAAAGUAAAAAUCGAACCAGCUUAGUAUAAUUAAACUUUAGCUAAAGAAAAGUGCUAAAAAUAACUUCAGUAAAUUGGAGAGCAAAAUAAGUGAGGAAGUGUACCCAAGUAAAUGUCUAAUAUUUAGCACUUUAACACAUAAGUCCCAGCCCUUCCUUUUUUUUUUUUUUCCCCUAGUUCACAAAACACUCCCACUUUCCCGCCCCUUCACCUUUCACAACAUUCACCCACCAUCUCGCCAAUGUUGUCAUCCUAACCCACCAGCCACCACCAGGUACACAUUCUUACUAUGUCAUGGCCGGACAACAACAACAAGAAGUAGCUCCCGUUUACGCCAGGUUCGUCAACCCUCAGUGCCGAAGGCGUUACAUGGAGCAGCAAAGCAAGGGGUUGUUGCAUGAGAAGGGUUUUAUUAUGGAUAGGGUAGACGAGCUUGCCCCAGAAUUCUACAACCAUUUACAGGAGAUCGGGUGGAACAGGUUGGUCGAAGACUCUGGCAAUUGCAACACCAACUGGGUCAGGGAGUUUUAUGCCAUGCUUCCUACUGUUGUUUGGUCCUCUCCAGACCCGGAGAUCACGAUUCGGGGCUUCUAGGUGAAGGUUGGGGCGAAGGUGAUCAAUGAAAUAUAUGGGUUGUCCAAUCCUCCCGAGGAUGAGAUGCUUGCUAGGGACCACGACGGUAAUGGCCCUUGGCUGGUAUCUAUGUUGGUUCCUGAGAACAAGAGGCGUAAGGUCACUUAGGCUAUUAAUCGGACUGGGAUCAAGAGUACCUACUUUUCGGCCGACGCUCGCAGGUGGCUGAACUUUGAUUCCCUGAGGGUUCGCCCUUCGAGUAACACUACUGAUCUCACCUACCCCCGAGCCCUUGUGAUUGCUUGCGUGCUGGAUGGUGAUCCUGUAAAUGUGGGUAAGCAGGUGAUCGAUGAGUGGAGGAGUUUCAUGGUUAUAGGCGGCUGGAGUUUGAUGUUCCCCUCCCUUAUUACUUCCUUGUGCCGGCAAGCACAGGUGCCUACAGAGCCUGCGGACCGGAUGUUUGAGUGCGAUGUUGAAUUUGACCCGUUGAGGAUGAAGGGUUCGCGGAGUAGCAGCAAGAAGAAGAAGGUCGACUCGGAUGAUAAGGAUACUGAGGCCCACGAGGGAGAAGGAGAUGACGUUGGCCCUUCGCAGCCCCCGAGCCCUUUGGA